This 512-nucleotide ribosomal RNA is filed under the name uncultured bacterium. RNAcentral describes it as "bacterial SSU rRNA". It matches the Rfam family "Bacterial small subunit ribosomal RNA", at positions 8 to 518 of the family's 1533-position model. The record is from RNAcentral.
AGAGUUUGAUCAUGGCUCAGGAUGAACGCUGGCGGCGUGCCUAACACAUGCAAGUCGAGCGGAGAUAUAUGUCUAAGAGACUUCGGUCAAAUUAAUUAUAUCUAGUGGCGAACGGGUGAGUAACGCGUGAGCAACCUGCCCCGGAGUGGGGGACAACAGUUGGAAACGACUGCUAAUACCGCAUGAUAUAUACUAACGGCAUCGUUGGUAUAUCAAAGAUUUAUUGCUCUGGGAUGGGCUCGCGUCUGAUUAGAUAGUUGGCGGGGUAACGGCCCACCAAGUCGACGAUCAGUAGCCGGACUGAGAGGUUGAACGGCCACAUUGGGACUGAGAUACGGCCCAGACUCCUACGGGAGGCAGCAGUGGGGAAUAUUGGGCAAUGGGGGAAACCCUGACCCAGCAACGCCGCGUGAAGGAAGAAGGCCUUCGGGUUGUAAACUUCUUUUGUUGAGGACGAAGAAAGUGACGGUACUCGACGAAUAAGCUACGGCUAACUACGUGCCAGCAGCAGC